RNAcentral lists this ribosomal RNA (497 nucleotides) under uncultured bacterium. Its description in RNAcentral is "partial 16S ribosomal RNA". It matches the Rfam family "Bacterial small subunit ribosomal RNA", at positions 28 to 507 of the family's 1533-position model. The record is from RNAcentral.
GAUGAACGCUGGCGGCGUGCCUAAUACAUGCAAGUCGAGCGAACGGACGAGAAGCUUGCUUCUCUGAUGUUAGCGGCGGACGGGUGAGUAACACGUGGAUAACCUACCUAUAAGACUGGGAUAACUUCGGGAAACCGGAGCUAAUACCGGAUAAUAUUUUGAACCGCAUGGUUCAAAUGUGAAAGACGGUCUUGCUGUCACUUAUAGAUGGAUCCGCGCUGCAUUAGCUAGUUGGUAAGGUAACGGCUUACCAAGGCAACGAUGCAAAGCCGACCUGAGAGGGUGAUCGGCCACACUGGACCUGAGACACGGUCCAGACUCCUACGGGAGGCAGCAGUAGGGAAUCUUCGGAAAUGGGCGAAAGCCUGACGGAGCAACGCCGCGUGAGUGAUGAAGGUCUUCGGAUCGUAAAACUCUGUUAUUAGGGAAGAACAUAUGUGUAAGUAACUGUGCACAUCUUGACGGUACCUAAUCAGAAAGCCACGGCUAACUACGUG